This 432-nucleotide ribosomal RNA is filed under the name uncultured bacterium. Its description in RNAcentral is "bacterial SSU rRNA". It matches the Rfam family "Bacterial small subunit ribosomal RNA", at positions 338 to 763 of the family's 1533-position model. The record is from RNAcentral.
CCUACGGGAGGCAGCAGUAGGGAAUCUUCCGCAAUGGACGCAAGUCUGACGGAGCAACGCCGCGUGAGUGACGAAGGUUUUCGGAUCGUAAAACUCUGUUGUGAGGGAAGAACACGUACCAACUAACUAUUGGUACCUUGACGGUACCUCACCAGAAAGCCACGGCUAACUACGUGCCAGCAGCCGCGGUAAUACGUAGGUGGCAAGCGUUGUCCGGAAUUAUUGGGCGUAAAGCGCGCGCAGGCGGUUCCUUAAGUCUGAUGUGAAAGCCCACGGCUCAACCGUGGAGGGUCAUUGGAAACUGGGGAACUUGAGUGCAGAAGAGGAAAGUGGAAUUCCACGUGUAGCGGUGAAAUGCGUAGAGAUGUGGAGGAACACCAGUGGCGAAGGCGACUUUCUGGUCUGUAACUGACGCUGAGGCGCGAAAGCGUG